This 2893-nucleotide ribosomal RNA is filed under the name Ligilactobacillus salivarius. Its description in RNAcentral is "Lactobacillus salivarius 23S ribosomal RNA". Lineage: Bacteria; Bacillati; Bacillota; Bacilli; Lactobacillales; Lactobacillaceae. The record is from RNAcentral.
GAAGGGAGGAAGGGCGGAGGGGGAGGCCGGGGCACGAGGAGCCGAGGAAGGACGGGACGAACGGCGAGAGGCGGCGGGGAGGGGGAAGGAAACGAGGAGCCGGAGAGGGCCGAAGGGGGAAACCGAACAGGGGGGACCGCCGGGGAGCACGAAGGGAAGGCAGAGCGGAGGGGAAGGGAGACGGGGGAACGGAAACAGCGAAGGACCCACAGGAAGAGAAAGAAAGGCGAGGCCCGCAGGAGCGGCGAGCGAACCGGGAAGAGCCCAAACGAAGAAGCGGGCGGCGGAGGGGGGAGGACGGAACAGGGGAGGGACCAAGAAAGGAAGGAGGGGAAGAAGCGGGGAAGAGGAGCCAAAGAGAGGGAGAGCCGCGGAAGCGAAACGGCGGGGCCGCAGGGCAGGAGCCGGAGGACGGCGGAACACGGGAAACGCCGGCGGAAGCCGGGAGGACCAGCGCCCAAGGCGAAAGACGACCGAGGGACCGAGAGGGAACCAGGACCGGGAGGGAAAGGGGAAAAGCACCCCGGGAGGGGAGGGAAAGAGGGCCGGAAACCAGAGGCCGACAAGGAGGCAGAGCGCGGGAAGGAGGGAGGGCGGGCCGGGGGGAGAAGGAACCGGCGAGGGACGGGAGCGGGCGAGGGGAAGGAGGAAAGGCCGGAGCCGGAGCGAAAGCGAGGCGGAAGAGGGCGAGAGAGGACGGGGACGGAGACCCGAAACCAGGGGACCGACCCAGGGCCAGGGGGAAGGGGCGGGAAAACGCACGGGAGGACCGAACCCGGGGAGGGGGAAAAAGGCGGGGAGGAGGGGGGGAGAGGGGAAAGGCCAAACGAACGGGGAGAGAGCGGGGGCGCGCCGAAAGAGCGGGAGGGCGAGCCGCGGAGGGAAGAAGCGGGGAGGGAGAGCACGGGGGGACGAGGGGCCCGGCGGGGGGACGGAAGGCAGAGAAACGCCGAAGGCCACAGAGGGAGAGCCGGGAGGCAGACGGCGAGGGAGAAGAGCCGGAGGCGAAAGGGAAACAGCCCAGACCACCGAGGAAGGGCCCAAAAGAGGGGGGAAGGGGAAAAGGAGGGGGAAGGGCAGAGACAACGAGGAGGGGGGCGGAGAAGCAGCCACCAGGGAAAGAGGGCGGAAGAGCGCACGAGGCGAGGGAGCCGGCGCCGAAAAGGGAACGGGGCGAAACACAGGACCGAAAGCGGGGAGGGACCGGAAGGGACAGGGGAGGAGAGCGGGCGAAGGACGGCGAAGCGAGACCGGAAGGACGGGGGGAGGGCGGAGAAGGGAGAAGGCCGGGAGGAGGAGCGAAAGAGCAGGGAGAAGCGGGGCCACCGGAGGACGAAGGGGGCCGGGGAAGGCGCGGCCGCCCAGGGGGAGGCGGGACCGAAGCCGAGGCCGAGAGGCGGAGGCGAGGGAGAACAGGGGGAGAGGCCGGGACGGGGGAAACGGGGGGAACAAGGGAGGGACGCAGGAGGCGAGCGAGGCGGACGGGGGGAGAGGGACGGGCAAGCAAGAAGGCGGGAGAGGAGGCAAAGGCGGAGCGACGGAAGGACAAGGGGGAGGAGGAGCGAAAGGAGGAGCGAAGGGAGAGACGGCACACGGCCAAGAAAAGCGGCGAGGGAGAGGGGAAGCACCCGGACCGCAAACCGACACAGGGAGGCGAGGCGAGGAGCCGAAGGGGAGCGAGAGAACGCGCGGGAAGGAACGCGGCAAAAGGACCCCGGAACGGCGGGAGAAGGGGGGCGGAGCGCAAGCGCAGCCGCAGGGAAGAGGCCCAGGCGACGGGGGAGCAAAAACACAGGGGGCGGCAAAAGCGGAAGAGGAAGGAGAGGGGCGGACGCCGGCCCGGGGCGGGAAGGGGAAGAGGAGGGGGAGCGGAAGCGAAGCGCAGAAGGGAAGCCCCAGGAAACGGCGGCCGGAACGAGAACGGGCCGAAGGGAGCGAAAGGCCGGGGCGGGGAAGGGCCGACCCGCACGAAAGGCGGAACGAGCGGGGCACGGGCGCAACGAGAGACGCGGGGAAAGGAGAAGACCCGGGAAGAGGCGGGGACCCGCGACAGGACGGAAAGACCCCAGGGAGCGGGACGGGAGCGGGAGAGGGGGGGGGGACAACGGGGACAGGAGAGGGAGGAGCCGGAGAAGGCGGAACGCGAGGGGCGAGGGAGGCAGGGGGGGAGACGACCCGCGGGGGAGGAACACGCGAACCCGCGCCGGCAAGCACGGCGGGAGACAGGGGCAGGGGGCAGGGGGACGGGGGCGGGCGCCGCCGAAAAGGGAACGGAGGCGCCCAAAGGGGCCGGCAGAAGGGGGGGAAAGCAGGCGCAGAGGGGAAAGGCAGAAAGGAGCGGGACGGCGAGACCGACAAGGCGAGCAGGGACGAAAGGCGGGCGGAGGGAGCCGGGGGGCCGGAGGGAAGGGCCAGCGCGCAACGGAGAAAAGCGACCCGGGGGAGAACAGGCGGAGCGCCCCCAAGAGGGCACAGCGACGGGGAGGGGGGCACCGCGAGGGCGGCGCAGCGCAGCCGGGGCGGGAGGCGGGCCCAAGGGGGGGCGGGGCGCCCAGGAAAGCGGGACGCGAGCGGGGGGCAGAACGGCGGGAGACAGGGCGGGCCCGAGCCGGCGCGGGCGGAGGAAAGGGGAGAGGAGCGGGCCGGAGGACGAGAGGACCGGGAGGGACAGACCGCGGGGGGACCAGGGGGGCCGCCAGGAGCAGCGCGGGGGAGCGAAGGAGGGAGGAGAGAAACGCGGAAAGCAGCGAAGGGCGAAACGCACCGCGAGAGAAGAGGGCCCAGGACGGAAGGAAGGAAGAGCCCGGAAAGAGGAGCAGGGAGAGAGGAGGGAAGGGGAAGGGCGGCGAGGCAGGGAGCGGACCAGGACGAAGCGAGCGAGGACGGAACCAAG